Molecule: long non-coding RNA, 1236 nt
Filed under: Nothobranchius furzeri (turquoise killifish)
Lineage: Eukaryota; Metazoa; Chordata; Actinopteri; Cyprinodontiformes; Nothobranchiidae
Description: lncRNA (ENSNFUG00015009849.1)
Source: RNAcentral
AUGUUGACUACUAAAUUCCUUUGGCAGGAUAAACAUCCACGAAUUAGCUUAAAAACACUUCAUAAGACCAAAGACAGAGGAGGACUGGAUUUACCCAACUUUUAUUAUUAUUUCUUAGCCUACAGGCUGCAAUAUAUACCAAGAUGGUUGCAAGAUAACCCACUAUAUGAGUCCUGGUUACAUAUAGAACAGACACUUUGCAAUACGAUAGAGCUUUCAGACUUACCAUUUUUUAGCUCAAGCAUAAGAAAACAUGAAAGCUUCAAAAGUAUUAGUAUCAGCACCUCUCUGACAGCAUGGUGGGAGUAUCUAAAAAUGAGACAGUCUUCACUAGUACCAUGCAGACGCACACCUAUCUGGAAUAAUCCUGAUAUUUUGCAAAAUAACCAAAUGAUGAACCUUCCGGACUGGAAAAAUAAAGGAAUCCUAUACCUGGAUCAAUUAUAUGAAGGAUUGGACUUCAUCCCAUUUAAUCGAACAGUCUCCCAAUUUGGAAUGGAUAAGAAUAGCUUUUUAGAAUAUCACCAAAUUAAAUCUGUAGUCAAACAAAAAUUUAAGCUCAAUAAAAUAGAAUUACAAACACCACCAAGGGUAUUUGACUUCUAUAAUCUCAAACCCCCCAAACUACUGUCUAAAGUAUAUAAGACACUGUCCAAAAUAGACGAUACAAUUGCAAUCCCUAUUGAAAAAUGGGAGGUGGAUCUAUCAGUUAGCUUUGACCAGAACUUCUGGUCCCAAACUUGUUUAAAAACUUUUAAAAUGAUCAGACACCCCAAUUUACAAUUAAUUCAGUACAAAAGUCUACAGAGAGUACACUAUACAGGUCAUCGGAUGUUCAAGAUGGGGUUUGUGUCAUCUGAUGCAUGUACACACUGCACAAACCACAUUCCUGACAAUUACAUUCACGCACUGUGGUCCUGUCCACCUGUCCAGGUAUUUUGGGGUAGAGUAUGUAAGGAUCUGUCAAAAUGUCUGAAAUGUCAUAUCCCAAUGUCCCCCUCUCUUUGUUUACUGGGAAACCUGGACGAUGUCCCGAUUGAAAUAUCUUUGGUUCACGUAAUUCUGACUGCCAUGUGCGUCGCUAAGAAAACUAUCCUCUUGAAUUGGAAAAAUAGAGAAACUCUCUGCAUUAACCAGUAUAGAAAUCUUUUGUUAGAUCAUAUUACGCUUGAUUUAGCCUCUGCUUCCACUUCAAAUCAAUCUCUCUGGGCUCCUUUGAUCGGUUCCAUCACAUAG